UCCUACGGGGGGCAGCAGUGGGGAAUAUUGCACAAUGGGGGAAACCCUGAUGCAGCGACGCCGCGUGAGUGAUGAAGUAUUUCGGUAUGUAAAGCUCUAUCAGCAGGGAAGAUAAUGACGGUACCUGACUAAGAAGCUCCGGCUAAAUACGUGCCAGCAGCCGCGGUAAUACGUAUGGAGCAAGCGUUAUCCGGAUUUACUGGGUGUAAAGGGAGCGCAGACGGCAGGGCAAGUCUGAAGUGAAAGCCCGGGGCUUAACCCCGGAACGGCUUUGGAAACUGGCCGGCUGGAGUGCUGGAGAGGCA
RNAcentral lists this ribosomal RNA (305 nucleotides) under uncultured bacterium. RNAcentral describes it as "bacterial SSU rRNA". It matches the Rfam family "Bacterial small subunit ribosomal RNA", at positions 337 to 659 of the family's 1533-position model. The record is from RNAcentral.